UAAAUGCUGCAAGUCGGCACAGCUUUCCAGUGACUUCUUGGGUUGUCUGAAUACCUGAACGAGGAGGAGGUGAAGUUCUACUUCCUCGUGAGGUGAUAGAUGAGCAGUAGUGUCCUCUGCCUUUUGGUCCUCAAGAAUGCCACCUCAACUCCAGACCUGAAGUGCGUCUUGGAAGCCCGGCAAGAUUAGAGGAGCAGAUGGAGAUCGAUCUCGAGACCUCGACCUCAGCUUCUUCCCAGCUAGAAGAGGCACAGACACGCCGACUGAGUUCCACAGGGAACGCGCCCUUAUCUGUGGAUGACGAUUUGGAGCAGCUACUUUGGGAAAUCUCAGGAGGCAGACUGGAAGCCGAAAUCGACUUAGACCUAGGGAAGGACGAGGAUGAGCUCCUCCUUGAACUCUCCGAGAUGAUUGACAGUUGAACUGCGUAGUCCUAUGCUAUAUUAAAAAAAAAAAAAAAAUUAAAACUGUUCUUCUUGUUGGAUACCCCGAGGUGAUCCUUUUUCUAACUGAGGCUUUGCAAUGAGACUUAAAGCACAGUCCCAACUGGUAGAAAUUGUGCACUCAGUUGUCCUAAAUUUCCCUGCUGGUCAGAGUUAAGGGCUUGUGCAUCCGUUCUGUAACUAUAGGUGGCUACCUUCGCUAUCGAGAGGACAAAGCACUUCUUUUGGCACAGAAAGAUCUCCAUUGGCACGCCACUGGUGGCUGCAAAUCGAUCUUCUGAUGGAGCGAUGCUCUGAAGGCUUAAACGUAAAGCUUCUUCCUUCCUCCCCCCUUGGCACAACUCGAUGUUGGGCACAUUGUGAAGCUUCGGUGUUCUGAUUUCUCGGACAGUUGAUAGCCAAAUCCUGGAGUUACUAUGUCAACUCGUGACUUCUACUCGUGUAUGCCAUUGUUUUGACUGUACCCGUGUCAGAUGAUGAAGCUGUAGGGGUGGGAGGGAGCAGAAUCGUUAUUCCAGUGUGUUGUGGACCGAGCUUGCUGCCAGGAGUGGGGGUGGGGGUCAGCCCACCCAGCCUUACUUUCAGUUCUCAGGGAUGAUCAAAUGGUGAAAAGCAGCAGCUCUGCCAUGCGGCUCCGCUACCCCCACUCCCUUCUCUUGUGCUGUACCAAAGUUCCCCCAGGCUUUGGUUGGUGCUUUUUGCUGGUGUGAGGACUCCGGGGCGAGCAGUCGGGACUCUGCCGCAGUCACGGGGUCGAUGAAGGGUUGUUUAAGUGCCUCUUGGUUUUCAAAAGUGCUCCCCUGAGCUGCUGGCUCUGCUGCCUGCUACUGCAAAUGUUCGGGUGCCAUCAGCAUCGCGCUUGGGCGUGGGCACUGACCCUGUGGAGGACAGAGCUGAGAUUCGGGUGUAUUGUGUACCCUGCCACCAGCCAUCGUUUUUUUUCCCCUAGCAGAUCAAUUUUGGAUUAUUUUCCGACCUUUUUGCGGCACGGUAGGCUCUUCCCGCUAUGAUUUGUGAAUCUGUGGGGGCCCUCAGGCAUUUGCUGCUGGCAGAGGAAAAGCGCUUGUCGAAUUUGUUGUAAAUACUUAAUGUUUGGACAAAACCACGUGUCUCUCUGUGUGUGUGUGUGUGUGUGUGCGUGAGUGCGUGCUGUGACGCCCCAGCCCCACCAGGGAAAACCUCCGCUGACGAAACUGCUGCUGGAGCUCACGCAGGCCUUCAUCGUGCCGAAGGACUUCACGGGGACUUCUGCCCUAUUACCCCUUCACUUCAGGGCUAAGAGCAUCUUUUGCGGAUCCAAAGCCUUUUUCUCACCUUUACUUUGCAGCUGAGAAGCAUACAGGCAUGGCACCAAGGCUCCUCUGUAUAGACCACAGCCUUGUUCUUAAGCACCCAGCUUUCAGGACGUUUUCAGGACAAGAGAGCCUAUAGUUGGGAUCCAAAGCCGCCUUUGCUUACAUGUCAAUCCUACAGAGCAGGCUGCCAUUUCCAAGGGGCAAUUCCCUAUUUUUAGGGUCCACAGUUUUAUUAUAAGAUGCAACGCGUCCUUCUUAGAUGGCAAAGCCGUAUGUGAGAAAGCGCUGCUUUCAAAUCCCCAAAUCCUCAUGCUAGGAGCCGAGGCCUGAAUUUUAGGGUCCGAACAUCCAUUUUGAGGAAGCAGAGAGUGGAGUGUGCACCACGCUGCCCUGACAUUUUUUGGCCCCAGCAUCACAUAUUAGGGCAGAAAGCCUCUUCCUUGGACUCUAAAGCCUUGUUUGAAAGGAUAAUUCCUCCUUUUUAGUGGCUAAUGAUUUCUUGUAUCCCCCUAACUCCCUCUCUCAGCCAUCCAACCCGCAGGGCUCAGGACUUGUUGAUGCUGUAAGGAAAAGCCUGAGGAGACAGAGAGCUGUGUGUCCAGCCCACAGGGUGCCGGACAACAGGCUGGCCAGGACAAGGAGACAAAGAACAGGCAGGCAAACAGCGCGAAAGAAGCAGGAAAGCUGGAGGAAGAGGUUCUGCCUCUGUUCUGCCGCUGGCUGGAAAGCGGAUCUGAGAAGGGACAGCCUCGUUCGCAGCUGCUCGGAAGAGAGCCCCAGCUCGUGUCUGGAAUGCUCUGGUGUCCCCAAGGCUGCCAGCACUGGGAACAGCCUGUUGAUGGCGGUGCCUCCCCUUUCCUGGUGUCGCAGAGAAAGGGAAGCCCAUGCAGGACCCCGUUGGGAAGGCCUGCAAUGCCAUGGGAGGGCCUGCGUGCUGGAGCAGGGCAAGA
Anas platyrhynchos (mallard) is the source of this 2688-nucleotide non-coding RNA. NCBI's taxonomy places the organism in Eukaryota, Metazoa, Chordata, Aves, Anseriformes, Anatidae. The record is from RefSeq and is a predicted model, not a curated record.